RNAcentral lists this ribosomal RNA (182 nucleotides) under uncultured bacterium. RNAcentral's name for it is "partial 16S ribosomal RNA". It matches the Rfam family "Bacterial small subunit ribosomal RNA", at positions 329 to 528 of the family's 1533-position model. The record is from RNAcentral.
GCUGCCCUUCCUACGGGAGGCAGCAGUAACGAAUCUUCCGCAAUGGGCGAAAGCCUGACGGAGCAAUGCCGCGUGUGGGAUGAAGCAUCUCUGGUGUGUAAACCACUGUCAGGGGGCGGAAACAAUGAUUGCCCCCAAAGGAAGUGGCGACUAACUCUGUGCCAGCAGCCGCGGUAAUAAGG